UACGGAGGGGGCUAGCGUUGUUCGGAAUUACUGGGCGUAAAGGGCGCGUAGGCGGCCACCGCAAGUCGGUUGUGAAAUCUCCGGGCUUAACCCGGAAAGGUCAAUCGAUACUGCGGGGCUAGAGUGCAGAAGGGGCAACUGGAAUUCUCGGUGUAGCGGUGAAAUGCGUAGAUAUCGAGAGGAACACCUGCGGCGAAGGCGGGUUGCUGGGCUGACACUGACGCUGAAGCGCGAAAGCUAGGGGAGCGAACGGG
This 254-nucleotide ribosomal RNA is filed under the name uncultured bacterium. RNAcentral's name for it is "partial 16S ribosomal RNA". It matches the Rfam family "Bacterial small subunit ribosomal RNA", at positions 524 to 776 of the family's 1533-position model. The record is from RNAcentral.